RNAcentral lists this long non-coding RNA (3478 nucleotides) under Gallus gallus (chicken). Its description in RNAcentral is "lncRNA (ENSGALG00010028682.1)". The record is from RNAcentral. Lineage: Eukaryota; Metazoa; Chordata; Aves; Galliformes; Phasianidae.
CCUCCCCCCCCCCCCCUCGCGGUGGCUCAUAAAAUCUCCGAGGCAGAGGCAGGGCAGCUUUCUCAGCCCCCGAGCUCGCAAAGGUGACCCAGGGACAGACAAACUGUGCUGAAGUCAGAAAUCAACUGGCAUAUUCAGUCUGGAGGAAUCUCCCAGGGUACCAGUCGAAUGCAUUAAGAGUGUAUUUCUCCAGCAAGAAGUGAUGGGAAGAGCACAGAGCAAAAAGAAGAAAGAAGCAGGGAAGAAGAUGAAGAAAUAAUCUCUCGAAGGACGCAGUAAUACUACCAUCUAACUAAAAAGAAUUCAGACAUGCACACAAUCCUCAGGAAAAUUCAUCUCCACCCUCCCAACGGACUCUGACUACCACUGAUCCAAGGACCACUGGUGUGGAACCACUGUUUUGUCCGCUGCUGACAAAAGUAUGUUUAAGAGUCUUGGUUUGGCAACAGGAAGGAUACCAUCCUUUGUCCGAUUCCACUGGCUGAGAGAAGUAUGCCCCAAUCAGAUAAUGGCAGUCAAAAGGAAUAAAGCAAGAUCCUUUCCUUGGGUGUGAGCCAGCAUUGUUCUUUCAUGCAUUAUUCAUGAAAUAUGCAAGUGGUCCCAAGACAAGAGGCAGAGGGGAAAAAAUGAAGCACAGGAGGUCCUGUCUGAAAGCAUCAGGAAGUAUUUCUGUGCUGAGGGUGACCAAGCCCUAGAGCAUGUUGCUCAGAGAAGCUGCAGAGCCCUCCUGCAUUCUUGAGGAUACUCAAAAGUCACUGCAAGAUGAAGACAGCCACUGACCUCCAAAUCAAUCGGUUUUGUAGUUUACAAACAUAUUUUACAGUACUUGUAGCCAGAUUCUUUGUGGGUUGUCAUCUUUUGUUUCCAACUAAUACCGAACAACUCCUAGGUUCUCUUUCCUAAAUGUAUGUUGAUCUGCUGCAACUUCUUUUGCCAGUCUCUGCCUUAUUUGGUACCUUGUAAAAGGAAAUAGCAAUUCUCACAUCUUAGGAGGAUGGCUAAGAGUUCUCUGUCUGUCUAGAAGACUGCAUGUUCCUCAUGGUUUUUGUCCUACCAGGGAGCCACAUGUUGCAAAAGAGAAUGAUAGCAUGGGAUUGAGGAGGUAACUUGCUGAACCACUCCCAAGGAAACUGAUGGUACAAUAAAAGCAAAUUGAACCUAAUUCUUAGAUGCAAAUCUGAUGCUCUUGAUACCUUGCCAUUUGCCUCAAAGCUAUUUUUUUCUCCUUUAAGUUUGGAAGCGGAAGGGUCCAAAUCCCAAGAUACUAUUAUUAUCAUCUCAGAUAAUCUGCGAAGUAGGAGCACAGCAAUUAUUUUCCCAGGAAAUUUACUGCUAAGGGAAUUUAACAAUUGUACAAAUUGCUGCCUAAUGGUGAUGCAUAAAAAAAGGAUCAUGUUUCAUAAGAUGAACAACAUACUCUCCCUUUCUUCCACCCUUCUACUGAUAUACUGAAGUUACAAAAAAUCGGAGGGCAGUAGUGCAACCACUAAUGCUGAAAUUGCCAGGCUGGUGUCUAAUGUAAAUUGAACUUUGAUGAUUUAGUGUUACCCAACAUACCUCUCCUCAUUGUUCAUUUUAUGCAGACUGAUAAAAAUCCUUCCAGGUAGCAAUGGCCUCAUGCCCUGUAUAAGCACAGAAAAUAAUGUCAUCGCAAGCCUUAAUGAUGAAGGUAGUUAUAGGACAAAGGCCCCUGCAGCAAGUUGGGUAUUGGGUCAUUGUUCCAGCUAAUGUCAUGAUGCCAUUUCUCACUAUUUUUAGAACUGUUUUCUUUGUACAGCAAAUUUAUCAUGUAGUUACUUAAAAAUACAGAAGAUCUUGUCUUCUCUGGACUUAGUAGCAAAAGAUUGUCUUCCUCUGACUUCUGCAAAUUAGACAAUCCCCUAAAAGCUGCAGAGAUUGAUUAAAACUUAAACUUAAAACCUAAAUUUAAGCUUAGAAAAAAUGAGUAUCUCAACCCAAUCUGCUGUUAGCACUUGGUGUAAUGACAGACUAAGCACAAAGACCUUACAGAAAAAUUUGCAGGAAUCCAAGUUAGCCACUCACAGUUCCAGAAGUAAUUCAGGGAUUCAGUAAAUCAGCACAAACCUAGUUCCUACAUUGCAUAUAUGUUAGCACAGAUCCAAAUUUCUCUACAUUUUGGGGAAAGAAAUGUGAAACAGUGGAUGAGGAACAUUCCAUCCUUUCAUGUUAAAACUUUGUUCCAUGUCAUAUAGCCAAGCCCUUUUAUUAUUAUCUACUUUGUAUAUUAUGGUUGCCGCAGAUACCUUAUCAAAAAUUGAAACUCUGAUUUUGGUUGUCCUAUAAGCACAGAAGAUGCAACCUGUAAACUCAGAAUUUAAGGAUUUAGGAAGCAAGACAGACAGAGACCAGUUCUCAUUCCCAUGUUACAGGCAGGGAAAUAGGACAUAGGAAGAUUAAAUGACUAGCUCACGGUCAGAAAACGAGUUUCUAGCAAAGGUAGGGUCUCAGCAAUAUUUUCCAAAAUCUCCGCCCAACACUUUAGGGAUCCAUUCAUGUGCCUUUUUUUUUUUUUUUUUUUUUUUUUUUUAAGUACCGUGUCAUUAUUUCUGUGAAAAAAAUUAUGUAACUCCUUCAGCAGCCAGUACUAUACACUUCAGCUUGUCUGAAAGGGAAUAUGAAAUGGCAGUUAAAAAAAAAAAAAAAAAUAACCUUCCUGCCACACAGUCUGGCAGCCCUGUCAAAAUGUAUCUUCUUUUCCUCUGAUGGGUAUUUAAGUUCCCUCUAUAUCCUUAGAACACUGGCUGGGGCUUUAUCUACAUUACCCUACAAAGCCAAAAUCAUGGAGUCUCCCUAUGGAGGACAUACUCUGUAGAUGAGGAAUGUAAUACCUUCCAGUACUUCACUUCAAUGCCAGGUGUUCAGGCCCACGUGGCAUUAGGAGCCUGUGAAGGUUUCCUGGCAGAUUCUGUGACAAGAAGGAAUAGUGACUGUUCCUCAAGAGGAUGCAGUAACCACCCCAUGCGACAGACCUGCUCACCCAGAUGCACAACUGGAUCACAGUGUUAAAUGGGAUGUUACAUGCUGGCAGAUCUCUUCUAUUCCUCAGUGUUGUAUCAGUGGGAGCUGCACUUCUGAUACCAGUCUAAUUCAGGAGACAGUAUCCAUCUCUGGGUGAUGUUUCAAACCAGGGACACUGGUUUGAGAUUAAUUGUUUUGGUGGUGACUUCUGUGAAAGAAGUCAAACGAAACAGGAGAACCAGUGUGACAAGGGAAAUUGAUCAGAAUGCCUCUGGUUUCUGCCAGAGGCAUUCUCUCCCCCAGCCCAAAUCCUGCCCCAGUACAGCACAUCAGCACAAGACAAGUUGGUGUAACACAGCCAGCAACAUGUUCUGUGACCUCUCAGACCAGAUAAUCCACUCACAGCUGGGUCAAGGGUGCACAUGGCUCAUCUAUUUCAUACCCAUGCUUCCGAUCUUUACUAAGCAUUUUCUUUAUUCAUGGAAAAAAAAAACCCAAA